This 465-nucleotide ribosomal RNA is filed under the name uncultured bacterium. RNAcentral describes it as "partial 16S ribosomal RNA". It matches the Rfam family "Bacterial small subunit ribosomal RNA", at positions 339 to 795 of the family's 1533-position model. The record is from RNAcentral.
CUACGGGGGGCACCAGUGAGGAAUAUUGCGCAAUGGGGGAAACCCUGACGCAGCGACGCCGCGUGGAUGAUGAAGGCCUUCGGGUCGUAAAAUCCUGUCAGAAGGAAAGAAGUGUAUGGUAGCUAAUAUCUGCCAUACUUGACGGUACCUUCAAAGGAAGCACCGGCUAACUCCGUGCCAGCAGCCGCGGUAAUACGGAGGGUGCAAGCGUUGUUCGGAAUUACUGGGCGUAAAGCGCGCGUAGGCGGUUUUAUAAGUCAGAUGUGAAAGUCCACGGCUCAACCAUGGAAGUGCAUUUGAAACUGUAAGACUUGAGUAUUGGAGGGGGUAGUGGAAUUCCCGGUGUAGAGGUGAAAUUCGUAGAUAUCGGGAGGAAUACCGGUGGCGAAGGCGACUAUCUGGCCAAAUACUGACGCUGAGGUGCGAAAGCGUGGGGAGCAAACAGGAUUAGAUACCCGGGUAGUC